Molecule: non-coding RNA, 236 nt
Organism: Pelodiscus sinensis (Chinese soft-shelled turtle)
Lineage: Eukaryota; Metazoa; Chordata; Testudines; Trionychidae
Source: RefSeq, a predicted model, not a curated record
GGCCAGAGCCCUCCGGAUGUCCAGAGUGUGCAGGCUGACGUCUGUCUGCGAAGAAUGCGGUUUUGGGAAAAAGGCGGGAGAAAGCCGGUUCACCGGAGUCCCGGUCUGAGGUUCCUAGUCUCAAAGAAAAAAAAGGAAGGCUUGCUUACUAUCACUCUGAGCACUGUAAUGUUGUUCUACUAUUAGUGCACAGAUAUCUCUUGCAGAGGUUUUACUAAGGACUGCCUGAAUAUUUA